GUCAGUUCUUUAGAUCAAGGCACAGGGCAUUCUGGAGAAGUUCUGGUGAGGAAGCAGUGGAUAUGAGGAGCUGGGAGCAUGGAAAUCCAAGGUAAUUGACUUGAGAGCCAAAAGGAGCCAGCUCAGAAAUUUACAAAUGCUUAUCUCAACUCACAGGGGUGCCCUACAGCAAACCCGCAGCAGAGAUCAGAAGGGCGCACUUUCCUUUUUAAUCUGGGACCGUGUUUUGCUUCUAGUGGCUCUUGAUGGCCCAUCUGAAAGGGACUUCUUACCACCCGGACUCCACCCCGAGGGCAGGGCUCCAGCAGCCAUCCUGACGCCAGGGGCGACACUCAGACUGUGGAGGAACGAGUAUGUCUCAGCCGGCUUCACGGGAGCUAUUUCAUCAACCUCAAUUAAUUUAUGGACUGGAGCAGUGGUUUUCGGAAAGUUUUUUGAGUCAUAGGAUCUGUUCUUCAAAUGAAGUGUAAUAUGGAAGUCUUCAAUUAUAAACCAGAAAGUGGUGAUUGGCCAUACUUAAAAUGGGAGUCUGGGGUCUCCUCUGCUUCUCCCUCUCACUGUCCUCCCCUCCCCCAUGGCUAUGAGAAGCAUGGCUUUGAAACCCUUGAACCAGAGGGUCCACACCUUCCUUGCUCAAUUCCACCCACACCUGUGAAUCAGCUGCCUGCUUGCACUGAAGUCGAAGUCACCAUCUCCUCAUCUUUAUCCUGACUUCCCGUAAUACAUUUCCUCUUCCUUACUAGAAUUUACCCCACAGAGGUCCAUAGGUUCUGCAACAUGUCUGGAAUGGCACCUAGCUAUCUUCCCUGCCACUUACCUCUUCAAUUUCUUGUUUCCUAUGUAAAUUGAUGGGAUUUUAAGGAAGUCUGCAAUUAUCCUAGAGUGCUUCUGUGAUCUCAACUCUGGCAUAGCUAACCAGCCACCAUUUGCGAUGAUUCUACCUCCAAAAUCUCACUUGGAUUUAUGACCUAUUCUCUCUCCCCACUCCACUGCCUGGGUUGGGCUUUUGUCCUCUUGGGUAGGGAUCAUGGAUGGCAUUGAUGUCCUGACUUAGUGCCGCCCCUGAGCCAUUCCUGAUUCUGCAAUAAAGAGGAAGCCUUCACAGAAGUGAGACUUGGAUUUCCCACUGAAGAAUGGGUAGGAUAUUUAUAGGCCUCCCUUUGGCCAGUAAUCAUGAUCUUGCCAUAUCCCAAGAGUAUGAAGCUCAUUUGAGAAUAUUUCUCAUGCCAGGAUCCACUGAGGGAAAUACAAAUAUAGACCACUCAUUGAUGCGUUUUCUGAGUCUUCUCUUCUGUUAGAACGACUUUUUCCUUAUGCAUGGGUAUUGUCUUGUUGAACAGCUGUUCUAGUGAGCAGGGACUCCCAUGGGCAGCCUACCGCUAAUGCCCGUCAUUCACAGAAGACAAUCUUGCUGUGUUUCUCUUUGUGCUUCACGAUUAGCCCAUUGCAAGAGAAAACUAACACACAGAAGUGAUUGUUCUGUCUCCUGUAGGAAGGGUCCUUAUUAUGACAGAAAAGUUAUUUUCUUUUCUGUGGUUUCUUAAGGGUUCUCUAAUUGGGUAACCCUCUGCUGACCCCUGGCUAUGGUAGUUUCUAUGUCGACAUCUUUGUUCCGCUCCUUGCGCACUGAAGCCAGAGACGAGUAAUUCAAACCAAUGCAGAGCAUGAGAUAAUGGGGCUCUGUAACCCACCAGUAUUUAAAAGGCAAUGACCCCUUAAGUUCACUGGAGUUACCUUCCAUUAAGAACUUUUCUCACCUGCAUAUAACAGACGGGUAUGUGUUAGAGCCCUGUGUCUGGUCUGGGUGUGGACUGAAUUAAUCUGUCAGACUUUGGGGACUUGAACCGGAUUGCUUUGGGAUUCCUUCACACUCUACAUACACGUGGAAUGAUAAUUCAAAAUAAGCACAGAAGUUUUCUUUUUUUUUUUUGGUGGGGGUGGCAUCUAAGAUAUGGGAAAACAUAGAAGAUCAUGUAAUUAAAAACCUAUGUAUCCAUCAUCUAGAAAUAUUAGCUUUUCAAUUUUGUCUUAUUUGCUUGCAGUGUUUUUUUUCCUUAAAGAUUUUAAUUAAUUAAUUAAUUAAUUAAUUCCAAGAGAGUGUGUGUAUGUGAGCAGGGGGGAGGGGCAGAGGGAGA
Long non-coding RNA from Mustela putorius furo (domestic ferret), 2135 nucleotides. The record is from Ensembl. Lineage: Eukaryota; Metazoa; Chordata; Mammalia; Carnivora; Mustelidae.